UUUGUUCUAUGACGAGGCUACGGAAUAAGCACUGGGCACAGUGCCUGACGUCAGUGAUGAAUAUUCCAUGCUGCCUUCCUUCUGAGAACAAA
Molecule: non-coding RNA, 92 nt
Organism: Pelobates cultripes (western spadefoot toad)
Lineage: Eukaryota; Metazoa; Chordata; Amphibia; Anura; Pelobatidae
Source: the annotation of a GenBank genome assembly